CCAAUAGCGUAUAUUAAAGUUGUUGCAGUUAAAAAGCUCGUAGUUGAAUUUCGGGAUCAAUAUGUCGGUCGUGCCUUGGUAUGUACUGGCAUUAUUGAUUCUUACCUUCUGAAGAAUCUCGAUGUCAUUAAUUUGGUGUCUUGGAGAAUCAGGACUGUUACUUUGAAAAAAUUAGAGUGUUUAAAGCAGGCUCACGCUUGAAUACAUUAGCAUGGAAUAAUGAAAUAGGACGUUUGAUUCUAUUUUGUUGGUUUCUAGGAUCGACGUAAUGAUUAAUAGGGAUAGUUGGGGGCAUUAGUAUUCAAUUGUCAGAGGUGAAAUUCUUGGAUUUAUUGAAGACUAACUACUGCGAAAGCAUUUGCCAAGGAUGUUUUCAUUAAUCAAGAACGAAAGUUAGGGGAUCGAAGACGAUCAGAUACCGUCGUAGUCUUAACCAUAAACUAUGCCGACUAGGGAUCGGAUGAUGUUAAUUUUUUAAUGACUCAUUCGGCGCCUUACG
RNAcentral lists this ribosomal RNA (499 nucleotides) under uncultured Glomeromycotina. RNAcentral's name for it is "partial small subunit ribosomal RNA". It matches the Rfam family "Eukaryotic small subunit ribosomal RNA", at positions 591 to 1092 of the family's 1831-position model. Lineage: Eukaryota; Fungi; Glomeromycota. The record is from RNAcentral.